AUACAGAGGGUGCAAGCGUUAAUCGGAAUUACUGGGCGUAAAGCGCGCGUAGGCGGUUUGUUAAGUCGGAUGUGAAAGCCCUAGGCUCAACCUGGGAACUGCAUUCGAAACUGGCAAACUAGAGUAUGGUAGAGGUAAGUGGAAUUCCAGGUGUAGCGGUGAAAUGCGUAGAUAUCGGAAGGAACACCAGUGGCGAAGGCGACUUCCUGGCCCAAUACUGACGCUCAGGUGCGAAAGCGUGGGGAGCAAACAGGAUUAGAAACCCCAGUAGUCC
This 274-nucleotide ribosomal RNA is filed under the name uncultured bacterium. Its description in RNAcentral is "partial 16S ribosomal RNA". It matches the Rfam family "Bacterial small subunit ribosomal RNA", at positions 523 to 796 of the family's 1533-position model. The record is from RNAcentral.